RNAcentral lists this long non-coding RNA (815 nucleotides) under Rattus norvegicus (Norway rat). RNAcentral's name for it is "long non-coding RNA NONRATT000829". The record is from RNAcentral. Lineage: Eukaryota; Metazoa; Chordata; Mammalia; Rodentia; Muridae.
GGAAGUCGCCUGCGGCGGGCCGUCGCCAAGUAUUCCAGGACACUGUCCCCGAGGCCACAAUGCCUUUCCCGGCUGUUGAAAAGAAAGCAGCAGAAGAAAGUAGGCCGCUGCUGGCUCCUGAGUCCCUGGCAGCCUUCUCUCCUCAGACAUGGUGGGAUGUACUCUGAUCUAGAGCAGGCAUCUGGCCAGAGACCCACAGGGAGCUCUGUGAUUGGCCUCAGAUGACCUAGAGGACAAAGAGAGGUCAGUGACUCCUGUUGUCUGCGAGUGUGAUGCUGGAGGUGGAGGUGGGACAAAGCCAUCAUGUCUUUGAAGAAAGCUUCUGGCCUCAAGCCAGACUCAGGAUUUUGGAGACUCGAGCCUCUUCUGGACAUGUGCACCUUGACAGUAGUGGCUUCUAAUUGUCCUGUGAAGGGAAAUGAUGGAACAGGCUCUGGUCGGCUUUUCUGGGAACAGACAGAGAAGUGGUAACUCCUGCCAAAGUCACGGGAUGCAUACAAAGCCCAGAACCCGAACAGGAAAAUGCAGCAGGAAAGGACACCGCAGCAGCCACCAUCCUGGGGUGGCUGUGCACGGGGCAGUCCUGCCCCUGGAACUUGGCCAGAGGCCAGGGCAAGUGCCCACCUCCCUUCUAGGGGCCUUUGUCACUGGCCUGCUUGCCCAGGUCUCCUUCAUCUCUGCUGCUGCCACACCUUUCAGGCCUGUUCUGGGUCUGAUGUGAUGCAGAACACUCUGCUCCGUCACUUGGGAAAUGGAAACUUCAUCACCAGCGUUUCCACCCCAAAGAACUAGACAGCACACUGGGAAGUUGCCAA